This is a long non-coding RNA of Gasterosteus aculeatus aculeatus (three-spined stickleback), 1540 nucleotides long. NCBI's taxonomy places the organism in Eukaryota, Metazoa, Chordata, Actinopteri, Perciformes, Gasterosteidae. The record is from Ensembl.
UGUACUUUUCAGUCGCUGAGUUACAGAAACAGCUGAAGCUGGACUCAUGUUCCUUUCCCUUACUUGUCCAUGGCAGAAUAAAGAAGACUUUUGGAGCUGCUAGAUCACAGGGAGAAGACGUCCUUGGGAAACUCUGCUGGACAGACCUGGCCCGAGGGCGCCCUCAGGGCGAAUCCACUUUGAGGGACAAGCUGGUGCCGUACCAGGCCGUCUCCACCUCAAGGCUGUGCUGCCACUGCCAAGAUGGCGACCACUGGACCCGGCGCUUUCAGCGCCAUAAUGACUGGUGAUGUCGCUGAGACCAGGAACAACAAAGCCUCAAAAUUUCAUUCAACCGAAGUCCAUCGUCAAACUGCUUAUCCUGCACACGGGGUUGCUGGAGUCUAUCCCAGCCAACUUCGGGCGAGAGACGUGGUGCACCCUGGACUGGUCACCAACCAACCAGGGCAGACUUACCACCAUUCACACAUCUACGGGCCAUUUAGAGUCCCUAAAUCAACCUGAUCCUCAGAGCGUGUCGGAGAGAACCCACGCAGACACGGGGAGAACAGAAAGGCCACUGGGCGGAGUCGAACCCGGGACCUUCUUGCUGUGAGGCGACAGUGAUACCCACCACACCACCGUGCCGCCCUCAUUCAACCAAAGUGGAUGAGUAAAAUAAAACUAAGGUUUCUCUGAUUAGUCAAAGAGUUGGUGCCACAUCCCACUUGAGCCUUUGGAGUGAGCUGGUGAGGUCUGAAUGGCAGACCUUUCCAGAACACAUGAUCACAACGCUGCUUUGCCUGAUGGAACCAGCAAGACAUCAUCAUGAAGUGUAUGAGCCUUCAAAACGUUCAGCAACAACGAAACACAAGUUGAUGAAUAUUGGCAUUCAGUUAAAAAGGCAUCCGCUCACAGGACAAACAAAAACUAUAUAUUUCCCCCAUAAAUCAGCACAACAUAAUUUAUUUAUGAGAUCCAAUGCCUUAAUGUAAACAUGGGAGCCAGGCAGGGCCGUGAGUAUGAUUCCCCCGCUGUAAAUUUCAUUCUGUGCAACUUUUUUUAACAUGCUACUUUAAUGUAAUUAAAGUAUUUCUUCUUCUGCUUUGCACUGACCCCGAGUUGCAGGCCCUGCAAACAUCUGACAGAACUUUUGUUUAGUCUCUGAGAGAUGCCCUGACGUGUGUUCCGUCUGCUGCUUACCUUCUGUGCGGUGUCCGCCUGGGAAAGCGCAAUCUACAAAAGCACACUGUGGCGAACUGUCGGGGUUGAAGCUUGUCCUGCAAUCCUCCCCCCCUGUAAUCAACAAAGCUUUGCUUCUCGCUCUUUGAUGUGCCGGCACCUCGGUGCUGCUGGGCAUGAUGCUCCCAGCUUUUCCUUGCAUCCUCAGUCGAGAGUCUGCAGAAACCAACGCUCUCCAGUCGCCAUGGAGGGGUUUUGUCAAUCAAGAAAAAAUGCUUGGCACUCUAAACAUUCAACUUUUUGAAGACAAACUUACAUGGAAGAGAAGUCCAGAUUCGGGUUUUUUUGUGUGUCUGUCUCAGUGGUGGUAUGACGUUUA